AGAAAGUGAGAUUGAUGAUAGAGAAAAUAAAAGAAUUUAACAAGAAAUAAAAUAGAUGUGACAUAUGUUGUAUUAGAGUGUAUGUGGGGAUAUAAUAGAGCAUUGUCUUUAAAUGUAAUUCUAAUACAAGAUGGGUUUUAACAUAAUUUUUUUUUUAAUGAGUCUAAUGCUAUUCUAAUUUUAUCAGGAUUUAUAGUUUAUCUUAUUUGAGUAUUAUUUUAAUUAGUUGUAGCCUUUAUAGUCUUUUAGUUUCCAAUAAUAAAAAUCUUUUUUUUUUCGUUUUUCUUGGAGGAACGUCUUUGACAUAUUGAGAGUUGGAUCAUUUGAAGUUUUAAACUAGAGUGCCGUAUCCAGUCUUUGCUGUGAGGUGAUUGAUUUACCUGUUAAAUAGGGCCAACACUUACUAAAUUUAUAUCUAGAACGACAUCGUAUAAAAAACACUAAACAUGAUUUAACGUUCAAAAAUGUGUUAAAUGUGUUUCAAUUAAAAUUGCUUCUGUUAUGUGUAAUGGGUUUGAUACUAAUUAAUGUCCAUUAUUAGCAAAUAGUGGGAGCAGAGUGAUGGAAAAAUAUCAUCUAUUAACCUUUUAUUUACUUAAUAAUGGACAAUGCCCUCGUAUUAUAUUGACUUAUCAUUUUCACAUAUUUAAUUAACUUAUUUCAAUCAUAAUCUAUAACACCUACCACCAAACUCCACGUCACCAACCACCAAUUAUGGAAUUAAAUUUUUAGAUGCAGGGAAUUUUUUUUUUUUUUUUUAAAAAAGAGAAAAGUAUAAGGCAAACCCUAUCUUACAUGCAUGUAAGAUAUAUUCCUCUCACAUAAAUAAUAUAUGGAUAGGAUCCAUAUACUAUUCAUGUGAGAGGAAUAUAUCUUACAUGCAUGUAAGAUAGAAGGACCCAAAGUAUAAUUGUAGUUAAAACUUGAAAUUAUCAUCGAAUUUUACAUACACCACAUAAUAACACUGCCAACCCCCGCCGGGCCCACCCCUUCAGUUCCCC
This 1001-nucleotide long non-coding RNA is filed under the name Citrus maxima (pomelo). RNAcentral describes it as "long non-coding RNA (CMAX_LNC003481)". Lineage: Eukaryota; Viridiplantae; Streptophyta; Magnoliopsida; Sapindales; Rutaceae. The record is from RNAcentral.